CCUACGGGGGGCUGCAGUGGGGAAUAUUGCACAAUGGGCGCAUGCCUGAUGCAGCCAUGCCGCGUGUGUGAAGAAGGCCUUCGGGUUGUAAAGCACUUUCAGCGGGGAGGAAGGCGGUGAGGUUAAUAACCUCAUCGAUUGACGUUACCUGCAGAAGAAGCACCGGCUAACUCCGUGCCAGCAGCCGCGGUAAUACGGAGGGUGCAAGCGUUAAUCGGAAUUACUGGGCGUAAAGCGCACGCAGGCGGUCUGUCAAGUCGGAUGUGAAAUCCCCGGGCUCAACCUGGGAACUGCAUUCGAAACUGGCAGGCUAGAGUCUUGUAGAGGGGGGUAGAAUUCCAGGUGUAGCGGUGAAAUGCGUAGAGAUCUGGAGGAAUACCGGUGGCGAAGGCGGCCCCCUGGACAAAGACUGACGCUCAGGUGCGAAAGCGUGGGGAGCAAACAGGAUUAGAUACCCGAGUAGUC
RNAcentral lists this ribosomal RNA (465 nucleotides) under uncultured Klebsiella sp. RNAcentral describes it as "bacterial SSU rRNA". It matches the Rfam family "Bacterial small subunit ribosomal RNA", at positions 338 to 795 of the family's 1533-position model. Lineage: Bacteria; Pseudomonadati; Pseudomonadota; Gammaproteobacteria; Enterobacterales; Enterobacteriaceae. The record is from RNAcentral.